UAGGCAAGCCCUUGCAAACAAAGGAUGCUUUCUCUAAACCACAAAUCUAUUUGCACCAUGAAGACAGAGGCACUGUACUUACCCUUGCACAGCUAAGGAGCAGUCAGCUUGGAAAAGCUGCUUGUGGCCCAGGGGAACGUAACCUACCUGCUCUAGGGAAGGAAGGUAGCAGCGGCCAGCUGUCCACAGAAGGGAGCAAGGCUCUCCUUCAAGGAGCAGGAGGGCUCACAGCUGCUCUCCUGAGAGCAAGGAUCUGCAAGGCAGCCUGGCUUCAACCAGCUGGAGAAAAUCAACUGCUUUCCUCCAAGAGGCUAUAAAAGGGUGAGGCUGAGGAGGUGCAUGUGCUAUAGGAGCAGGCAGGACGGCCUGGGGGAAGAGGUGGGGUGUUUGCAUGGUGAUGUGGUGAGCCUCAGCGUAAGCAGUAUGCAGAGGAUGUGGGGCUAUAGCUGCCUGGCAGGCACCAAAGGAGGUUGAGGCGGGCAGCACAGCUCCACAAACAGCCUGACCCAUGGAUGCCAGCCAGAGGAACUGCCCCCAGCUCUCCUGCAGCCCUCCGGCUGUCCUCGGGGGCCACCCCAGCUGCAGCUGCUCCGUUUGCUGGUGCCGCCUCUUCAUGGUGCGUCUCCUAGCUGGAGCACUGCCCACGGAGCCGAGACCACCUCCCUUUGGCUGCGGGGGCUGCGGGCACUGCCUGGUGCUGACCACCCGGGGCUGCGAGGAGCUGGUUCAAGUCUGGUCCCGCAAGGACGUCCAGGGAGGCCGAGACUCCUUUCAUUGGAAAAAUACAAAUGGAAAUGAGAUAAACCCUUAAACAGAGCUAAGCAAGAGAUGAAGCAUAUAGUCACAGAGUUGACAGCAGCUUUGACUUGCAGGGAUCUUCACUCCAGUCAUUUCCAAUAGUUGAAAUUGAGUGUAAUUUAGUUUUUAGGCAUGUAAAAAUUAACUGUCUCAGAAAAUAAACAUGCCAUGUACUUAAUAAAGCA
This 983-nucleotide long non-coding RNA is filed under the name Anser brachyrhynchus (Pink-footed goose). RNAcentral describes it as "lncRNA (ENSABRG00000017608.1)". The record is from RNAcentral. Lineage: Eukaryota; Metazoa; Chordata; Aves; Anseriformes; Anatidae.